This 694-nucleotide ribosomal RNA is filed under the name uncultured bacterium. Its description in RNAcentral is "bacterial SSU rRNA". It matches the Rfam family "Bacterial small subunit ribosomal RNA", at positions 111 to 823 of the family's 1533-position model. The record is from RNAcentral.
UAACGCGUGGGUAACCUGCCUCAUACAGGGGGAUAACAGUUAGAAAUGACUGCUAAUACCGCAUAAGCGCACAGGACCGCAUGGUCCGGUGUGAAAAACUCCGGUGGUAUGAGAUGGACCCGCGUCUGAUUAGCUGGUUGGUGAGGUAACGGCCCACCAAGGCGACGAUCAGUAGCCGACCUGAGAGGGUGGCCGGCCACAUUGGGACUGAGACACGGCCCAAACUCCUACGGGAGGCAGCAGUGGGGAAUAUUGCACAAUGGGGGAAACCCUGAUGCAGCAACGCCGCGUGAGUGAAGAAGUAUUUCGGUAUGUAAAGCUCUAUCAGCAGGGAAGAGAAUGACGGUACCUGACUAAGAAGCCCCGGCUAACUACGUGCCAGCAGCCGCGGUAAUACGUAGGGGGCAAGCGUUAUCCGGAUUUACUGGGUGUAAAGGGAGCGUAGACGGCUGUACAAGUCUGAAGUGAAAGCCCGUGGCUCAACCGCGGAACUGCUUUGGAAACUGUAAAGCUGGAGUACUGGAGAGGCAGGCGGAAUUCCUAGUGUAGCGGUGAAAUGCGUAGAUAUUAGGAGGAACACCAGUGGCGAAGGCGGCCUGCUGGACAGAAACUGACGUUGAGGCUCGAAAGCGUGGGGAGCAAACAGGAUUAGAUACCCUGGUAGUCCACGCGGUAAACGAUGAAUGCUAGGUGU